Molecule: ribosomal RNA, 474 nt
Filed under: uncultured bacterium
Lineage: Bacteria
Description: SSU rRNA
Rfam family: Bacterial small subunit ribosomal RNA
Source: RNAcentral
AGGACGAACGCUGGCGGCGUGCUUAACACAUGCAAGUCGAGCGGAAAGGCCCUUCGGGGUACUCGAGCGGCGAACGGGUGAGUAACACGUGAGCAACCUGCCCCUGGCUCUGGGAUAGCCUCCGGAAACGGGGAUUAAUACCGGACAUUCUCCGCCUUCCGCAUGGUUGGCGGUGGAAAGUUUUUUCGGCCGGGGAGGGGCUCGCGGCCUAUCAGCUUGUUGGCGGGGUAACGGCCCACCAAGGCGACGACGGGUAGCCGGCCUGAGAGGGCGACCGGCCACACUGGGACUGAGACACGGCCCAGACUCCUACGGGAGGCAGCAGUGGGGAAUAUUGCGCAAUGGGCGGAAGCCUGACGCAGCGACGCCGCGUGGGGGGAUGAAGGCCUUCGGGUUGUAAACCCCGUUUCACCAGGAGCGAAUCAAGACGGUACCUGGGGAAGAAGCGCCGGCUAACUACGUGCCAGCAGCCGC